AAAAAGUCUAAAUUAAAUGGUGUUGUCAUGUCAAUUACCAUUGACAAUAUUUAUUUAUUAAAUAGCAGACACUUGUCAAAACCUAUUUAUAUAAAAUCAUAUUUACACUUGAUAAAAACAUCAAAGUUAAUAUUUAAGGCAAUAAUAAAUAUGUUUAUCCUUAUUGAAAGACGAAAUGUAGAAAAUGUUAUUUUGGGCAGUUAAUCCAAAGGUGUCAAUGUGCAAUAUACAAACAAUGCAAUAAACAGAUAAAUGAAUAAUGCAGUCUGUUCUAAUAUACAUCAAACAAAAGUAUUUUAAGUAUGUGUGCUUAUUUAAGUCUAUUUAGUUUUGUAUUUUAUUUUUUUAUAAAUAAAUAAGACUUUACAUUAAAUUGUGUUUACAAUUUAAAAAUACGACUAACUAAUACUAAUAUUUAUUGGUGCACUUUCGUUCCUAAAACAAUGACAUAUAUUGCAAUGCACCUUGGAAAUAGUAGUCAUUUAACCUCAACAGCGUUCAAUACGCCGUGGAAAAUGGACUACCUUUCCCAUAAUGCAACUGGUCAGGAUCAGGAACUUCCGCGAAUUUCAAACCCCCAGCUGUGUACUGGACGGAGGACGCGCGAUCUUUUGUUUUGUGGAGUUUUAUAUAACACAGUAAGGUGCAAGUAUUUUAUCAUCAGUCGCCAUUUAACGUUAAACAUGCAUGUUUUUACAGUAAGAGACGCAACAUGCAUGACGGGGAUGAUAAAAUAAUCAAUAAGAAGUUUGAAUCUUUAAAAAUAAAUUAAUGCUGAACCCCAAAGAAGCCAACCGAAGAUGAGAUGUUUUCUGUACCAAUCCACAACUCAACAUUUGCUGAAGUCAUGAACCACACUUUGUCAACAAUAAAUGUUGUUUCUGCAAUCUGGAUAAAGAAUAAUAAAUUACUGCCUCUUGGAGAACAGCCGACUGUACUCCAGACAGAGACAAAGACGUGAGGACAUCUAUUGCUUUUGUAAAGGAAUUUUAUACCCAAGAGUUAUAAAUGUUGUCUUUAUUGUUUGUCUUAAUAUUUUAUUUGACAUUUUAACAAUAUAAAGUUUACUUGUACUUGUUUUUUGUUUGUAGAAGUCAUGUACCACACUUUGUCAACAAAACAUGUUGUUCCUGCAAUCUGGAUGAAGAAUAAUUUGAGUUUAAUACUUCAUUUAAAAUGUAAUAGUUUAAAUAUUAAACAAAUGUGUAUCUGAUCAGAUGUUUGACUUCUCUAUUUAAUAGAUAUUACUGCCUCUUGGGAAAAAGCAGACUGUACUCCAGACAGAGACAAAGACAUGAGGACAUCCAUUGCUUUUAAGUUCUAUACCAGACUAUGUUGUUCCAGCUGUCUGGGUAAAGACUGAUACAUUACUGCCUCUUGGAGAACAGCAAACCAUUCUCCAGACAGAGACAAAGACAUGGACAUCAAAACAGAAAAUUAAGUACUUUAUCAUGGAUUGUUUGGAGUGAACGCUGACAAAUAAUGAAGCAAGAAAUGAAAAUGCUUGACCAAAACAAUUUUUGUACUUGGCUGUAAGAAGUCCUUUGUGUGUACAGACAUGACUGGAGAUUAAAGUUACUAAAUGUUGCUUUUUUCUAGCUGGUGACAUAACAUGAUAUUAUUUUCAAAUGUAUUUAUCUAAUACACAUUUGCACAUCUGUAAACAUUCAUUUUAUAUUGCAUGUUUUUAUAUUUAACCAGUUGUUGUAUAUUGCUAUCUGUUAUUACAUCUGUUUUUUAUUGUCCGUUUAUUGUUUAAAACAAUUAAGUUAAUGUUUCUCUGUUAGCUUUUAUGUUACUUUGGCUAUUUCUUUGCUUUUAUUUGAUCCUUCUACUGUUAUUUGUUUAUUUGGCAGAACAUUUGACAUUUCAUUUAUUUUGCUGUUAUCUGAAAUUUUUCUUGUCAGCAUCAAUAAAACUCUAUAUUUGCUUUA
Molecule: non-coding RNA, 1934 nt
Organism: Misgurnus anguillicaudatus (oriental weatherfish)
Lineage: Eukaryota; Metazoa; Chordata; Actinopteri; Cypriniformes; Cobitidae
Source: RefSeq, a predicted model, not a curated record